RNAcentral lists this ribosomal RNA (468 nucleotides) under uncultured bacterium. RNAcentral's name for it is "partial 16S ribosomal RNA". It matches the Rfam family "Bacterial small subunit ribosomal RNA", at positions 28 to 507 of the family's 1533-position model. The record is from RNAcentral.
GACGAACGCUGGCGGCGUGCCUAACACAUGCAAGUCGAACGGAAAGGCCCUGCUUUUGUGGGGUGCUCGAGUGGCGAACGGGUGAGUAACACGUGAGUAACCUGCCCUUGACUUUGGGAUAACUUCAGGAAACUGGGGCUAAUACCGGAUAGGAGCUCCUGCUGCAUGGUGGGGGGUGGAAAGUUUCGGCGGUUGGGGAUGGACUCGCGGCUUAUCAGCUUGUUGGUUGGGUAGUGGCUUACCCAGGCUUUGACGGGUAGCCGGCCUGGGAGGGUGACCGGGCACAUGGGGACUGAGGGAGGGCCCAGACGCGUACGGGAGGCAACAGUGGGGAGUAUUACACAGUGGGCGGGAGCGUGAUGCGGCAACGCCGCGUGCGGGAUGACGGCCUUCGGGUUGUAAACCGCUUUCGCCUGUGACGAAGCGUGAGUGACGGUAAUGGGUAAAGAAGCACCGGCUAACUACGUG